AAUAUGGGACAAUGGGGGAAACGCUGAUCUAGCCAGCCCGCGCGUAGGAUGAAGGCCUUCGGGUUGUAAAGUACGUUUGGCAGAAAAGAAAACGUAGCUCCUAAUACGAAAUACUUCUGACGGUAUCUGUUGAUUGAAUAUCGGCUAACUAAGUGCUAGCCGCCGCGGUAAUACGUAGGGUACAAGCGUUAAUCGGAAUUACUGGGCGUAAAGCGUGUGUAGGCGGUUCGGAAAGAAAGAUGUGAAAUCCCAGGGCUCAACCUUGGAACUGCAUUUUAACUGCCGAGCUAGAGUAUGUCAGAGGGGGGUAGAAUUCCACGUGUAGCAGUGAAAUGCGUAGAUAUGUGGAGGAAUACCGAUGGCGAAGGCAGCCCCCUGGGAUAAUACUGACGCUCAGACACGACAGCGUGGGGAGCAAACAGG
This 423-nucleotide ribosomal RNA is filed under the name uncultured bacterium. RNAcentral describes it as "partial 16S ribosomal RNA". It matches the Rfam family "Bacterial small subunit ribosomal RNA", at positions 360 to 776 of the family's 1533-position model. The record is from RNAcentral.